UUACGACCAUGUCACGUUGAAACACUUGUUCUCGUACGAUAACCGAAGUUAAGCAAGGUCGAGUAUGAUCAGUACCUAGAUGGGUGACCGCUUGGGAAUGCCAGUUGU
Molecule: ribosomal RNA, 108 nt
Filed under: Acanthosepion pharaonis
Lineage: Eukaryota; Metazoa; Mollusca; Cephalopoda; Sepiida; Sepiidae
Source: RNAcentral